RNAcentral lists this long non-coding RNA (2903 nucleotides) under Mus musculus (house mouse). RNAcentral's name for it is "predicted gene, 47415 (Gm47415)". Lineage: Eukaryota; Metazoa; Chordata; Mammalia; Rodentia; Muridae. The record is from RNAcentral.
ACUCUGAGCGUGAGCAAGAUUGAGAAGGGAAAACGGAAUAAUUACUGGACACAAAACUAGUCCAUCCCAGCACUGCUAUGGAAAUCAGUAUGUAAGAGGCAAACAAAUUGCAUCCGCCAUGGCUAAAGGUGGAAAUAGGAGGCCUGGAAAGUAUUCCCUCACGUUCUUCAGUCUGCCCACACGACAGGAAAGUUCCUCACACUGCACUCUCAAAACCAUUUAUCUGGAGUGACUCUCAUUUUACAAAUGAGGAAACUGGUAGAGAAUCUGAUGUCAGAAACAGCGCACGCCACGGUAUCAUGUGACUCUUCCAACCUAUAAAUGGCUCUGUCACCAUCCUGUCUUUGUGUCCAUCAGUGAAACUCUUGAUCAUCUACCCUUCAUGAGAGGACAUGACCUGAAGAAGAUCGCCACUCAGGAGCCAGGAAAGGGAUUCACAGCUGUGAAGAUUGCCUUGAAUCUUCGAAGAGCCUAGCUUCUGAGCAGUUUAAGGCCAUUAUGACUAUGGGGAUUCUUGAAGUAGACUAGUACAUUUUGCAAUAUAAUCUGGCCUUAAUCCUAUGGGUUACAGGAGUGGAAGGUUAUGUUUUGAAAGUUAAGUGUUCCCUGAAGGUUCUGUUUUACACAUUUGCUUCCCAGCUUGUGGUACAGUUCUGAAAGUGGUAAAGCCUUUAGGAAGUGAAACCUGGCUGACAGAAGUCAGCCUUUAGGGGAAGGUGCCUGAAGCUUAGACACACCUCUGAUUAGGGCUUGUAGCCUCUGCUUCCUGGUCUGGAGCAUGUGAACAAGUCACUGCCAGAGGCUCCCACUGUCAGAAAUGAACCCCUUCUAUCAAGCCUUCUAGGCUAGUGUGGACCAAAAUCUCUGAAACCGUAAGACAAAAGACAUUCCCUUAAGUUGUUUCUGUUAAGUAAUUUGACAUUAUGAAUAAAAUAAUGAACAUGAAGAAAUACAAAGAGGCUGUUGGUGAUAGAGCAGAGAUUGUAUUUUUGUAAGCUGCUCACACAUGUGUCUGAAUCUUCUUACAGUGCAAUGGUUACGAGAUGACUACAGAGGCUUCGGGCUAAGGACUUGUCCACCUACUCCUGCCAUGAUCCAGCACAACAGUCUAAAGACUCUGAAACAAGCAAGUUGAAAUCCACCAUACAGCUCUUUGUAAAGGCAUGUUUGUGUGAGCAAUGGAUAAAACCAAUUUAACAUGAGUUUUCUCAUUAAGUUUAUAAUAUCUAAAAAUGCAGAACUGUGGCAUAUUGGCCUUCAUUUGUUCGCAGGGCUCUGAGAAUGCGAGGGCUAGGAUUGCCUGGGACUGGUUGUAUGUAUAAAAGGUAUGGACUCAAAGCUUGGGAAUUUGGUCUCUUGUAGACAAUUGGAUGUUCCCGAAGAUGACUUAGCUGGUCUCUGAGAAGGAUGGUCAGGAUCGAGCAUGAGUGGAGCUGAUGCCAGUUCUCUCUGGGACUCAUUUGUUUCCCUCCCUUAAACACUGUGUCUCUAAGUGUUUCUCACAAUCUAUUUUGAAUGGGUAGAACUGGGAGUAGUGAAGAGUCUUCAGAGCCAGUGAGAUGAAGAAACAAUCAACACAGUUUUUACACUUAAAAUCAGGACGAUAAUACUGGAGCAUAAAAUGACAUAUAAGCCCUGCUACCCACCUCAUUAAGAGAGAGCAAUACAAGUGUGUCAUGCAUGUAAGCUAUGGUCCUAGCGCAUGGCAUGUAUUACUAAAGUCCAAUCAAGGGUCCUCCUUUCUCUGCUUUGAUUAAAUGAAACACACACUUCCAUUUCAUUGCUUUGGAUAGUUUACAAAUGAUUGGUAUCAUAUUUAAUAUAACCUUGUUAUAAUAUAUAAUUAUUAAUUAAUAUAUAUUAUUGGUAUAAUAUAAUAUUUAAUGUGAUGUCUAGGAACAUUAUAUGAAUUUCUCAGAAGCAGCUUUGAAAGAACUAUGCUUUCAGUCUAUAGAAGUACUGGGUCAUAAGCACCUUAACCUUACUCAGUCACCAGCACUGACAGCCAAAUGCUGAGCUGCCUUGAGAUGUGAGUGCCACUGCUCUAGUAUCGCCUCCAACCGAGCAACAUCGACUUCAUCUCAGUUAUUUUGAUUUAUUGCCACAAUUACCUGUACUGAGUUCAAUGCCAUGCUAAUACUUGGGCUGAUGAAUUAUAAUAUGGACUUCAUUUUAUCGAAAUGUCACGUGUUCUAAUGUCCUGAUUUUUUUUUUUCUUGGCAGACAGUAGCAUCGCACUCAGUUUUAUGUGUUAACCUUGUUAGGUUUUAGUUUCCAGUCACUCAGUUUAAUGUUAGUCCAUAGGUUGCUGUGAAUGUAACUUGGAGAUAAGGCUACUGUCUAUAAAAGGCAUUAUCUUUGAUGAUGAUUUCAAUGGACCUCACCAAAUCAAUUGGUACAACUCAAGAGCAAAGCUGAGUUUCCAUUGGGGAAGAAGAAAUUGUCCUACAAAGCAACAUGCCAUGUUGGUUGCGAAUUUCUCUCUUUUGACCAGUCCUAUGAUAUGGCUAUGUCCUAUGUCAGGCUUGCUAGUUGCUAUGAUAACCAUGCAAAAUAUAUGUAAAUAUAAACAGACAUGGGGCUAGAGAUAGCUCAGCAGUAGGAGUAGUUGUUGCUCUUGCAAAGGACUAAGUUUCCAGUACCCAUAGGGUAUUUCAUAACUAUGCUAAACCCUAGUUUCAGGGCAUCCAGUGACCUCUUCUAACCUCCACAACCAUGCAGGUAAAAUGCUCAUACAUAUAAAACAAUCUAUAAUACAUUUAAAAAAUAUGCAGAGAUAUUAUGUAUAUGUCAUAUAUAUGUAUAUGCCAAUGUAUAAUUUUGUAGUAGAAUUUUGCAUGAUACAGAAUUUGGUGUUAAGAGUAGUUCUAGAGAACGACUAAAUAAAGGAGUUGACUCUUGAA